CGCGGCCUAUCAGCUUGUUGGUGGGGUGAUGGCCUACCAAGGCUUCGACGGGUAGCCGGCCUGAGAGGGUGACCGGCCACACUGGGACUGAGACACGGCCCAGACUCCUACGGGAGGCAGCAGUGGGGAAUAUUGGACAAUGGGCGAAAGCCUGAUCCAGCAACGCCGCGUGAGGGAUGACGGCCUUCGGGUUGUAAACCUCUUUCAGCGCAGACGAAGCGAAAGUGACGGUAUGCGCAGAAGAAGCACCGGCCAACUACGUGCCAGCAGCCGCGGUAAUACGUAGGGUGCGAGCGUUGUCCGGAAUUAUUGGGCGUAAAGGGCUCGUAGGCGGUCUGUUGCGUCAGGAGUGAAAACUCGGGGCUUAACCCCGAGCCUGCUUCUGAUACGGGCAGACUAGAGGUAUGCAGGGGAGAACGGAAUUCCUGGUGUAGCGGUGAAAUGCGCAGAUAUCAGGAGGAACACCGGUGGCGAAGGCGGUUCUCUGGGCAUUACCUGACGCUGAGGAGCGAAAGUGUGGGGAGCGAACAGGAUUAGAUACCCUGGUAGUCCACACCGUAAACGUUGGGCGCUAGGUGUGGGACUCAUUCCACGAGUUCCGUGCCGCAGCUAACGCAUUAAGCGCCCC
Molecule: ribosomal RNA, 628 nt
Filed under: uncultured bacterium
Lineage: Bacteria
Description: bacterial SSU rRNA
Rfam family: Bacterial small subunit ribosomal RNA
Source: RNAcentral